ACUGAUCUAGUCAGAUGGUUGCAUUAUCCCAAACUCCUGAGGGGUCGGACUGCUGCAGCCCUGGUUGUUUUGUUUGUUUUGUUUGUUUUUGUGCUGUUUGCUUGGUUGUUUUGUCGUUUUGGUUUUUGUUUUGUUUUGUUUUUGUUUUUGCACCCUUCCCUUAACUCAGACAGAAAGGCCAGUCGCAGUUCUCAUAUUUGCCAGAUCUGCAGUUGUGGCACAGAACAGUUUCCUUUCUCACUCUGUCCUGAGCCAAUGGCGUAGUUAUGGAAGACUGUACCAAAAGCAAAAGGGCCAGAGCUAGGACCCUAACGGAAACCACCGCGCAAUCACAGACCUCUAGGGAAGCCAACUCCAGCUGACAGACAGACAGGCACACACACAUUCUCUUCUCCCCCCCCCCUCUGUCCCUUCUCUUCUUUCCUCCAGAGACAGUAUUUCUCGGUGUAUCAUUGGAACUCACUCUUUUUUAGACCAAUCUGGCCUCAAAUUUAGAGAUCCGAUUCCCUCUGCCUCCGGAGUGCUGGGAUUAAAAGCGUGGGACAUCGCGCCUCCCCCAUUUUAACACCUAUCCCUGGAUGUCAUUGAACUCGAGAGUGUAGACGAGGCUUGCCUCAAAUUCACAGAGAUCCUGUCUCUGUCUGCCAGGCGCUGGCAUUAAAGGCCUACCUCUGGCAGAGAGAAGUUACUUUACCGUUAUUCACGUGUUUGAAACUUUAUGAAGCUACCUUUAAAAUCAAGACAAUUUAAAUGGUGCCGUUGUUCUUCCACCUCCCACCCCGCAUGCUUAUCUGCCCUCCUCUCCCUCUCGUUUUGCAUCCACAGAAACUUAUUCACAUACACAUGCCAGCAGCGCCCCACCCGCAGGUCUCCACAGGUCGAAGAAGGGAGCGGAACAGAAGCUACACCCACACCUCCCGAGAUACCUCCUACUUCCAAACUCCGGGUCUACGAAGGACUUGGCUGGACAGAUGGCUCAGCAGUCCUGAGUUCAAUUCCCAGGAACCAAAUGGUGGCUCACAACCAUCUGUAAUGGGAUCUGCUGCCCUCUUGUGGUGCGUCUGAGGACAGCUGCAGUGUACUC
This is a non-coding RNA of Rattus norvegicus (Norway rat), 1084 nucleotides long. The record is from RefSeq and is a predicted model, not a curated record. NCBI's taxonomy places the organism in Eukaryota, Metazoa, Chordata, Mammalia, Rodentia, Muridae.